Long non-coding RNA from Esox lucius (northern pike), 614 nucleotides. RefSeq lists it as uncharacterized. The record is from RefSeq and is a predicted model, not a curated record. NCBI's taxonomy places the organism in Eukaryota, Metazoa, Chordata, Actinopteri, Esociformes, Esocidae. The transcript has 2 exons.
ACUGACUUUUCCUAAAGCGUCCGAUUUUAGGCUACAGUAUAUGCACGUUCAAAAGCCAACAGUUUAUUUUUACGUGUAUGAUGCAUGUGUCCUUAUGAAAACAAGUGAAUUAGUUGUCCGUAAUGUGCAUGAAGAUCCCAAUCUGUCAACGUUGUCGAAAUGAUUUAAGAUACAAAAAAAACAAUGUCCCGAAUAACUGCUGCAAUGCAUUCACCAUAGCAGCCACGUCUACAUAUCAAUUUAUCUGGCACACGUGAUGACACAACUCUACAUGAAGCGACGUGGAUCUCGAAAAAGACACAAGCCCUUGGACCACACCUCAGGACUACAGUACCAGGCCCUAAUGACCCGUAGAUGUACCUGUCCAAAGUCCUCCGAGAUGUUCUGCAGAUGAAGUUGCUGCCUGAUGAUUCCUGCAGCCACAGCCCGCACCCCACCUGACCGUCCCUGUCCUGGUCCACCUGGUUCUGAGGCUGACUUGGAUUCUAUUUAAGGACUCUGGACACGGCCCAGAUGCAUUUAAUGACCUGUUUCAGGCCGGGUUUCUGUAAUAGGACUGUGUGACAACUGCUGCUGUGAAAAGGGCUUUGUAAAAUAAAUGUGACUGAUUAAUA